UCUUUCUUGGUCAGUUAGAGGAAGUAAAAGUCGUAACAAGGUCUCCGUUGGUGAACCAGCGGAGGGAUCAUUGC
This 74-nucleotide ribosomal RNA is filed under the name Phomopsis sp. GL9725. RNAcentral describes it as "partial 18S ribosomal RNA". It matches the Rfam family "Eukaryotic small subunit ribosomal RNA", at positions 1759 to 1831 of the family's 1831-position model. Lineage: Eukaryota; Fungi; Ascomycota; Sordariomycetes; Diaporthales; Diaporthaceae. The record is from RNAcentral.